RNAcentral lists this long non-coding RNA (629 nucleotides) under Chinchilla lanigera (long-tailed chinchilla). RNAcentral describes it as "lncRNA (ENSCLAG00000024060.1)". Lineage: Eukaryota; Metazoa; Chordata; Mammalia; Rodentia; Chinchillidae. The record is from RNAcentral.
UUUCUUCUUCACAGACAUUCUAGAUGUCACAGUGAGGAGUACAAAGUACUCACAUAAUUCUCUGUAGACAUCAAAUAAGUGUGGGCCUUGGCCCAGGCUCCCAACCAUUUCCUGCAAAUUCCCCAUUUACAAGUAAGUGAUGAAGGUGUCCCUCAGCAUUCCAGGCCCCUCCUUGAUUUCAAGGUACUCAGGUCAGACAGGAUGGAGACCCUGCCUUCAGGAGACCUCUGGUAUGGGUGAUGUUAAAAAGGUUCCAAAACUGUAAGCAUAGAAGGAGUGAUUCUGCCUAGGUUUUUUUACUUGUUGAUGCCCUGCCUGAGGAACCAUAGGCGCUGAAGAGUUUUCGUGUUUCCAGGUAUGCGAGGUCAGACUGUGGAUGGAGCUGUUUCCUUGGCGAUAGCGCCAGCAUCCACACAGGUUUCCAGUGUCAUUCAGUGGGUUACGUGGAUACCAAGAUACUCAUUGACUCUACAAUGACAGUAUCUUCCUCUUGUUUUCCCCAGGCUCCCUUGAAGAGAAGUGCAGGAUGUCAAGAAGGCUGUGGAUGGAAUCUCUUGCCAAUGUCAGGCAGGGGUUCAGAACUUCCUGUGAGCCUGUGCGCAUUGGUGAUCCAGUUGAAAAUUGCCAGA